Long non-coding RNA from Pipistrellus kuhlii (Kuhl's pipistrelle), 936 nucleotides. RefSeq lists it as uncharacterized. Lineage: Eukaryota; Metazoa; Chordata; Mammalia; Chiroptera; Vespertilionidae. The transcript is spliced from 2 exons. The record is from RefSeq and is a predicted model, not a curated record.
CACUCCUCCGAAGGCCCCUGUGUCUCUGGACUCCACCUCUUCAUCCACACCCUCAUCCUUCUUACUGAGCCAGCCCCAUGUCACUCGUUCCUGGAUAGCCCAGCCUCCAGCCCUUCCCAGCUUCUGUACUGCAGACCCUUCCUAUUUGGGAACAUCCCAACCACCUCUAGCCCUUUGUGGGGUUAUCUCUCCACUCUGGACCUCACUGGUCUCCUCCAUCAGCAACAUGCCGACACAGUUCUCCCUAAGCCUACCAAUGACUCUCUCCCCCUCCCCCCCAUCCUCCACUAAAGCCAAGAGACUGGAUAUUCUUCUAGUAUCCAGCAGCCUGGGGACCCUAAAGCCCAGAUGGACGGGCCCACACACACCAGGUACUUCUGACCACACCGAAGGCGGCCAAGUUACAGGGAUAUCCUUCCUCACUCCACUCUUCUUCAGUUGAAGUGAGCCCCUGCUCCCCAGGCUCCAACAGUCUGUUUGUAUUGGAGUGUCAGCCUCGGACCAACCCACUCAAAUUCACAAAAAUUCCCAAGGAACUUCCCUGACUAAGUAGGGACAGCUCUAUGCCCCACCUGAGCAGGAAGAAGCUGCAGAAGAAUGAGAUCAAUCUCCCUCAUCAGCCCCAGUUCACAGAAGGAAAAUAAAAGGAUAGAACAUUAGGCAUAUUCUGAAUCAUUCCCCUGCACUCAGUACUUUUCCAUUGUACCACACUUGGAUCUCGUGCUCUCUCUGCACUUUUUCUGUUAUUAUUUCAGGUGUCACAGAGAAAGCUGAAGGGCUAAGAAAAUCAGCUUUAGACCUGGCUGCUUGUGCCUGCAUCCGGUUCCCAGGGACCUUCAUGAGAGGCAUAAAUAUCCCACACCCCCUACUCUUGCUUACUGACAUGGCUAUACUGGUCUCGGCCCACUUUGAGAGGAUGUAAUAAAAUUUCUUAAA